RNAcentral lists this unclassified non-coding RNA (179 nucleotides) under uncultured fungus. RNAcentral's name for it is "sequence contains ITS1". The record is from RNAcentral. Lineage: Eukaryota; Fungi.
UUUAGCUUUAAGAUCACUAAGACAACCACUAAAAUAGCGUGUAAAAUUCUUCGGCAGGGCACGGGGCGUCACCACCCCGACAAUUAACGGCGUUCCCUGCCAAAGCAACAGAAGGGUGCACAGAAGGAUAAGAGUACGGACACUCUGUAAUGAUCCCUCCGCUGGUUCACCAACGGAGA